GUCGAUGAUGGCUCCUCUGUCGU
Molecule: non-coding RNA, 23 nt
Filed under: Arabidopsis thaliana (thale cress)
Lineage: Eukaryota; Viridiplantae; Streptophyta; Magnoliopsida; Brassicales; Brassicaceae
Source: RNAcentral